ACAAGCUCCACUAGACAGUGGACAGUGAAUUGGGGUUUUGUUAAAUUCAGGUUAUGCACAGAGAGGUUUCAUGAAGUGUUCCGUAUAUUUUGCAUCCCGGCACUCCAUAAUUGGAGUAUGACUUCAGAUGGUGGCAUUUAAACUGUCUGGGAAAACAGUCAAAACAAACAGCAAAUAGUUUCACAUUCCAGCAUAAUUGGAAAAAAUAAGAGUCCCUGCUGGAGUGCUGCAGCUCCCGGAAGCUUAAUUUGGGAUAGCUGCUGAGAGCCGUAAGAGUACAGGCUGGCCAUGUUGUCAGCGGGUUUUCUUUGGAAUGCCCCCACGUUCUGACCUGAAACCCCAGCAGCCCACCUGAACAGCAGCUGUGCCAGUUUUCCAGAUACACCGAUGGGUUUUUAACUCAAGUAACCCACAAGAAAUGGUGCUGGUUCUCGGUAUACCUCUAAGCAAAAUUUCCACUGAUUUCAGAGCCAAACGAUGACACAACCUGCCGUCAAAUAAACAUGCCAAAUCACAUCUUUGUUUAUGAGGGUUGUGAGUUUUGAGAUCAUAUUUUAACAUCCAGCUGUCUAAGCUGCUUUUGAUGCAACGGU
Cyprinus carpio carpio is the source of this 593-nucleotide long non-coding RNA. The record is from Ensembl. NCBI's taxonomy places the organism in Eukaryota, Metazoa, Chordata, Actinopteri, Cypriniformes, Cyprinidae.